UAGUCCACGCCGUAAACGGUGGGCGCUAGUCGUGCGAACCUUCCACGGUUUGUGCGACGCAGCUAACGCAUUAAGCGCCCCGCCUGGGGAGUACGAUCGCAAGAUUAAAACUCAAAGGAAUUGACGGGGCCCCGCACAAGCAGCGGAGCAUGCGGCUUAAUUCGACGCAACGCGAAGAACCUUACCAAGGCUUGACAUAUACAGGAAUAUGGCAGAGAUGUCAUAGCCGCAAGGUCUGUAUACAGGUGGUGCAUGGUUGUCGUCAGCUCGUGUCGUGAGAUGUUGGGUUAAGUCCCGCAACGAGCGCAACCCUCGUUCUGUGUUGCCAGCAUUAAGUUGGGGACUCACAGGAGACUGCCGGGGUUAACUCGGAGGAAGGUGGGGAUGACGUCAAAUCAUCAUGCCCCUUAUGUCUUGGGCUGCACGCAUGCUACAAUGGCUGGUACAAACGGCUGCGAUACCGCAAGGUGGAGCGAAUCCGAUAAAGCCAGUCUCAGUUCGGAUUGGGGUCUGCAACUCGACCCCAUGAAGUCGGAGUUGCUAGUAAUCGUAGAUCAGCAACGCUACGGUGAAUACGUUCCCGGGGCUUGUACACACCGCCCGUCACAUCACGA
RNAcentral lists this ribosomal RNA (614 nucleotides) under uncultured Actinomycetes bacterium. Its description in RNAcentral is "bacterial SSU rRNA". It matches the Rfam family "Bacterial small subunit ribosomal RNA", at positions 791 to 1407 of the family's 1533-position model. The record is from RNAcentral. Lineage: Bacteria; Bacillati; Actinomycetota; Actinomycetes.